GGUAAGUCCUUGAAUUUUGAUGUUAUCCUUAAGGUGGGUUUUCUUAUACCCUGUUACAUAGAUCUUUUUAUACUUAGAAAAAUCAGAUUAGAUCUUAAAACUUUUUGAUAUGAUUUAUUCGGCAUUCAAUAUCUACUUCUAUGAUAAUUAGUUUCCCUUUGAUUUAAUUUCUGUUAGAAGAAAGGAAUAAGAUGGUCCUUUUAUGAAGAAUCUUCUUUUUUCUUUUUGAAAAUGCCAUAGCAUUGCAGAAUCAAAC
This 256-nucleotide unclassified non-coding RNA is filed under the name Hevea brasiliensis (rubber tree). Lineage: Eukaryota; Viridiplantae; Streptophyta; Magnoliopsida; Malpighiales; Euphorbiaceae. The record is from RNAcentral.